This is a non-coding RNA of Gossypium raimondii (Peruvian cotton), 145 nucleotides long. The record is from Rfam. NCBI's taxonomy places the organism in Eukaryota, Viridiplantae, Streptophyta, Magnoliopsida, Malvales, Malvaceae.
UAUUAAAUAUUUCAUCUAUUUGUACUAUUAAAAACUAGUGUGGUUGACAGAAUAACCAAAUAGUGACAUAUGAUGUGCCACAUAUAUCUCAUGUUGACGUACAUGAACUCAUUUUUAACACCAGAAAUAAAUUAAAUUUUUAACA